Non-coding RNA from Sturnus vulgaris (Common starling), 149 nucleotides. NCBI's taxonomy places the organism in Eukaryota, Metazoa, Chordata, Aves, Passeriformes, Sturnidae. The record is from RefSeq and is a predicted model, not a curated record.
UUCAGAGUUCACAGACCUACGAUGCCUGCACAGUGCUCUGUGGAUAGGUUUUGCAGCUGUGUGCUGACAACUGAGGAGCACUGAAACAUUCAGGAUGUGUGGUUUCAUUGACUCUGGGUCAUGCAGAGAUGUCUAUCCCAAGCCAAAGG